This 863-nucleotide ribosomal RNA is filed under the name Salmonella enterica subsp. enterica. RNAcentral's name for it is "partial 23S ribosomal RNA". It matches the Rfam family "Bacterial large subunit ribosomal RNA", at positions 566 to 1269 of the family's 2925-position model. RNAcentral also lists the same sequence under 1 other name. The record is from RNAcentral. Lineage: Bacteria; Pseudomonadati; Pseudomonadota; Gammaproteobacteria; Enterobacterales; Enterobacteriaceae.
AAAGCAUUCUCUGGUGUUGAAGGCCCUGCAAAGCAGCAUCGCGGUGGCGGAGCGUCGUUUGCGACGCCCAACACACAAAACAAGCGGUGAGUGCUUUGGGGUGGGGUGACUGCGUACCUUUUGUAUAAUGGGUCAGCGACUUAUAUUCUGUAGCAAGGUUAACCGAAUAGGGGAGCCGCAGGGAAACCGAGUCUUAAUUGGGCGUUAAGUUGCAGGGUAUAGACCCGAAACCCGGUGAUCUAGCCAUGGGCAGGUUGAAGGUUGGGUAACACUAACUGGAGGACCGAACCGACUAAUGUUGAAAAAUUAGCGGAUGACCUGUGGCUGGGGGUGAAAGGCCAAUCAAACCGGGAGAUAGCUGGUUCUCCCCGAAAGCUAUUUAGGUAGCGCCUCGUGAAUUCAUCUCCGGGGGUAGAGCACUGUUUCGGCUAGGGGGCCAUCCCGGCUUACCAACCCGAUGCAAACUGCGAAUACCGGAGAAUGUUAUCACGGGAGACACACGGCGGGUGCUAACGUCCGUCGUGAAGAGGGAAACAACCCAGACCGCCAGCUAAGGUCCCAAAGUCAUGGUUAAGUGGGAAACGAUGUGGGAAGGCCCAGACAGCCAGGAUGUUGGCUUAGAAGCAGCCAUCAUUUAAAGAAAGCGUAAUAGCUCACUGGUCGAGUCGGCCUGCGCGGAAGAUGUAACGGGGCUAAACCAUGCACCGAAGCUGCGGCAGCGAACGUAUCACUUAAAGCGAUUCAGCGGGUUACGAUUGACGGAGCGAAGCGACGUCAAAGCGUAUACAAAGUCGAGUCGGUUUAAGGAUACGUUCGUUGGGUAGGGGAGCGUUCUGUAAGCCUGUGAAGGUGUGUCGUGAGGC